CCUUCCUUAGGCUGUAAAUUGUAUUUUUUAAUGAAAAUGUAUUUUUUUAUUAUUUAUAUUUUAUAAUGGCGCUCCAUGCAGUAAUGCCAGCCACAUGACCUUGGAGGGGUCUACGGACAACGCUGGCUCAUUGGCUUAGAAGUGGAGAUGAGCACCAACCCCAGAGUCAAACAUGACUAGACUUAACGUCAGGGGGAACUUUACCUUUACCUUUUUAUGAUUUAUAAUAGUCUUUUAGAGUUUAUUGAAAAACUGCAAAACAGCGAAUCUGUGAAAAGUGAACCGUGAAGUAGUGAGGGAACACUGUAUAUACAUUUAUAAGUCAAUUGCAGGUUUGGGAGCCAAUAUUAUGGAUUUUGAUAUGGCCCUAGAGAAGUUGAGGAUCAUUCUGCAAAGAGGGGAGAGCACCACAGCCACCUUUUCUUCACAAAAGCAUUUUAAAAGUCAGAAGCAACAACACAGCAAAGAGUAGAGGGAGCUGGUGCUUGUUUUAGGGUCUCCUGAGACAGACUAAGAACCUUAUCACACUAGAGUUUGGUUCCACAUUAAAUCCACUUUAAAUCCACUUUAGCGAGGGGCCUUUAAACAGGUCAGCCAGACAGGUCCUGGGCCUCACUAAACUACAAACCCCAGAAUUCUGCAGGAGGCAGAAAAUGGAUUUAAAGUGGAUCCAUGCUCUGGUGUGAUGAGGUAGUAAGUUCUUUCCUUUCGUUGUGGAUAACUAGGACUGCGAAUAAAAGGAUCCAUGCCUGGAGAGUCUAAACUAUGCCAAAUUGGGCCAGGACAGAGACACUCAGCAGGUUGAAGACAAGCCACAGAAGUUUAUUUGAUCUGGCCAGGACAGAUGCAAGUACAAGUGGAUGCUUUGAAGGUGAUGGGGAAAUACUUUGGAAAAAACAAAGAUGUGAGACACUAGGAACAAAAGUUUAGAAGAGCCAUGAUCAUGAAGACUGGAGGAUUCUCAGAAUUGUAGUCAAAAAAGUAAUUUUUCUAAGCACACAACUCUUUCCAGUGAAGAAAAAUGAAGAGAUACUGUCAUAUAACUUCAUUAAUUACACCUUUCUUUCUCAUAUUACUUCUGUUGUUGGCUUUGCUGUGUGUCCCUCCUGUUGUGAAAUCUAGCUGAACUUGGAGAAUUCUACAAUUAAAGACUGGACUGUCCACAA
Anolis carolinensis (green anole) is the source of this 1166-nucleotide long non-coding RNA. RefSeq lists it as uncharacterized. The transcript has 3 exons. The record is from RefSeq and is a predicted model, not a curated record. NCBI's taxonomy places the organism in Eukaryota, Metazoa, Chordata, Lepidosauria, Squamata, Anolidae.